RNAcentral lists this transfer RNA (66 nucleotides) under Nephila pilipes (giant wood spider). Its description in RNAcentral is "tRNA-Leu". The record is from RNAcentral. Lineage: Eukaryota; Metazoa; Arthropoda; Arachnida; Araneae; Nephilidae.
AUAUAUAUAUAUAUAUAUAUAUUUGGCAGAAAAUUGCAUUAGAUUUAGAAUCUAAUUACACUACUU